RNAcentral lists this long non-coding RNA (426 nucleotides) under Olea europaea (common olive). RNAcentral's name for it is "long non-coding RNA (OEUR_LNC014411)". The record is from RNAcentral. Lineage: Eukaryota; Viridiplantae; Streptophyta; Magnoliopsida; Lamiales; Oleaceae.
GCCCUGCCCGGCCCAUUUAAUACGCUUAGUCAAACCAGCUCUCAUACCAGUCAUCUUGCUUGGCAAAUCACAAACCCUCGAAUCUGGAUUAGCUUCAAACCUCAUCCACUAAUAAACACAUACAUACAUCUCUACAUUGCAUGUAUAGAUUACACAGAGUUCUACAUACAUAGCAUUUUCGGAUUUUGAUUUUCAAUCAAGACCCUAAAAAUGCCAAAUAACUGCACGGUCUUGUUGCCCACUUCACUUAAAUUGUAAGUAGUUCCAAAAGCCAAGCUGUUUAAAUCCAUGAAACUCAUUAUGUAAUAAUCUUGUUAUAUUUGCCUGCAGUUGCCCUCCAAUAGUUUCUCUUGAUUGCCGCUGUCAAGUAUUCUCUAAUUUGCAAUUUCCACUCAAUCUUAAUUUUCGGCUUGGGAGAGGUNNNNN